This 68-nucleotide transfer RNA is filed under the name Xylota coquilletti. Its description in RNAcentral is "tRNA-Asp". The record is from RNAcentral. Lineage: Eukaryota; Metazoa; Arthropoda; Insecta; Diptera; Syrphidae.
AUAACAUUAGUAUGAUUAAUAAAAUUAGUAUGUCAAACUAAAAUUAUUAUAUUUUAUAAUAUUUUUUG